RNAcentral lists this ribosomal RNA (292 nucleotides) under uncultured bacterium. RNAcentral's name for it is "partial 16S ribosomal RNA". RNAcentral also lists the same sequence under 1 other name. The record is from RNAcentral.
GGACUACCCGGGUAUCUAAUCCUGUUUGCUCCCCACGCUCUCGCGCCUCAGCGUCAGUAUCUGUCCAGGUAGCCGCCUUCGCCACUGGUGUUCCUUCCGAUCUCUACGCAUUUCACCGCUACACCGGAAAUUCCACUACCCUCUACAGUACUCCAGUCAUACAGUCUUGUAUGCAAUUCCUAGGUUAAGCCCAGGCCUUUCACAUCCAACUUAUAUAACCGCCUACGCGCCCUUUACGCCCAGUAACUCCGAUUAACGCUUGCACCCUCUGUAUUACCGCGGCUGCUGGCAC